This 497-nucleotide ribosomal RNA is filed under the name uncultured bacterium. RNAcentral describes it as "partial 16S ribosomal RNA". It matches the Rfam family "Bacterial small subunit ribosomal RNA", at positions 28 to 507 of the family's 1533-position model. The record is from RNAcentral.
GAUGAACGCUGGCGGCGUGCCUAAUACAUGCAAGUCGAGCGAACGGACGAGAAGCUUGCUUCUCUGAUGUUAGCGGCGGACGGGUGAGUAACACGUGGAUAACCUACCUAUAAGAAUGGGAUAACUUCGGGAAACCGGAGCUAAUACCGGAUAAUAUUUUGAACCGCAUGGUUCAAAAGUGAAAGACGGUCUUGCUGUCACUUAUAGAUGGAUCCGCGCUGCAUUAGCUAGUUGGUAAGGUAACGGCUUACCAAGGCAACGAUGCAUAGCCGACCUGAGAGGGUGAUCGGCCACACGGGAACUGAGACAGGGUCCAGACUCCGACGGGAGGCAGCAGUAGGGAAUCUUCCGCGAUGGGCGAAAGCCUGACGGAGCAACGCCGCGUGAGUGAUGAAGGUCUUCGGAUCGUAAAACGCUGUUAUUAGGGAAGAACAUAUGUGUAAGUAACUGUGCACAUCUUGACGGUACCGAAUCAGAAAGCCACGGCUAACUACGUG